GCCUGGCCUGGAUACAGCACAUCUACCCUUGGCAUGAACACGGACCCAAGGAUUGUGACGGAUUUCAACGUGUUCCGUAAGGAAGUCCUGGACCGCAUCCACCAAGGAGAGGCCAAAUGGAAGGAAAGCUGGACUACAGAACUGGAUGGUGUUAAGCGAGAGAUCGGCCUUCUGAAGGAGGAUGGAGAGAGACACAGGC
Molecule: long non-coding RNA, 199 nt
Organism: Clupea harengus (Atlantic herring)
Lineage: Eukaryota; Metazoa; Chordata; Actinopteri; Clupeiformes; Clupeidae
Exons: 3
Source: RefSeq, a predicted model, not a curated record